UACGUAUGGGAGAUAAAUUGAUUAGACAUUAAUGAUUGAUAUUUUCCCUCAAGCGGAAAAAUCUCCAUUUUUUUUUUUUUUUUUGGGAUUUGAUAUUUGAAUGAUCCAUGAGAUGAAUUCUUUAUAAAGUGCCAGAUAAUAAUGACUACAUCUCUUGUUGGUAAUAUCUAGAAUUGUUUCUGGGCUAGUAUUAACUAAUACAAUUGCAAUAGUGUAAGACAUAUCUAUUUGCUUGUGAAUUUAGAAGGAAUGUUCAAAGUUUUUGAUCUAGAAUUGAAUUAUGCCUGUCCGUAUGUGAAAAUAAUAUGCUUCAGUCGCACUGGAAAAUAAGACUGAAGUUUGGGAUUCAGCUAUACGAGUAAUGGGAACAAUUAUAAGUUAUUAAUGUUUUCGGCAAUGACUUUAUGUUCCUUUCUAGCUAUUAAGGGUUUUACCUAAAUUGGCUCCCUUGUUCCAGAUCUCGUUUGUUUCUUCCACAUUUCUCAGAUUUUAUUCAUAUACUGUGAUUUUAUUGAGGACAGAAAUCCUAGGAUUUAUACUGUCAAUCCAGUAAUAGGGCUAAAAUGGUGUUCAGGUUCACAGGGGAUUGUCGACCGCAUUUAGAUCACAUAAAUCUCCUGAUGGGCUCAGGCUAACAUGUUGAAUCCUGGUCUAUGCUUAUUUUCUAUCUUGAUGUGUAUUUUAGUAUGCUGGCGCACUUCCUCUGACGUUGCAGCUUAAAAUAUGAAACUUUGAUUAACUAAAAUAUUUUUAUUUUCACUUUGACUUACUUUUUGCAAACGAAUAGGGUUGGCUUCAGUUCUCUACUGUUUUUGUUCUAACCCACUUUUAGCACUCAGAUAUUAAGAUGCUGCGUUCAUACUGGAAUUAUUUUAUGGUAUAAUUUUGGGCUCAUUAUGAAACGAAUGUUCCAGAGGGUGGGUGGGCCCUGCCUGUGAACAAGGUUAAUUUAUCCACCCCUUUGUAGAACUAGCAAGUGCUUAGUGAAGUAAAAAGUUUAAAAAUGCAAGUGAUGGAUUUUAAAUAUACAAUAGGCACUUUGUA
RNAcentral lists this long non-coding RNA (1044 nucleotides) under Olea europaea (common olive). Its description in RNAcentral is "long non-coding RNA (OEUR_LNC013685)". The record is from RNAcentral. Lineage: Eukaryota; Viridiplantae; Streptophyta; Magnoliopsida; Lamiales; Oleaceae.